Molecule: ribosomal RNA, 514 nt
Filed under: uncultured Streptococcus sp.
Lineage: Bacteria; Bacillati; Bacillota; Bacilli; Lactobacillales; Streptococcaceae
Description: bacterial SSU rRNA
Rfam family: Bacterial small subunit ribosomal RNA
Source: RNAcentral
GACGAACGCUGGCGGCGUGCCUAAUACAUGCAAGUAGAACGCUGAAGAGAGGAGCUUGCUUCUCUUGGAUGAGUUGCGAACGGGUGAGUAACGCGUAGGUAACCUGCCUGGUAGCGGGGGAUAACUAUUGGAAACGAUAGCUAAUACCGCAUAAUAGUAGAUGUUGCAUGACAUUUGCUUAAAAGGUGCAAUUGCAUCACUACCAGAUGGACCUGCGUUGUAUUAGCUAGUUGGUGGGGUAACGGCUCACCAAGGCGACGAUACAUAGCCGACCUGAGAGGGUGAUCGGCCACACUGGGACUGAGACACGGCCCAGACUCCUACGGGAGGCAGCAGUAGGGAAUCUUCGGCAAUGGACGGAAGUCUGACCGAGCAACGCCGCGUGAGUGAAGAAGGUUUUCGGAUCGUAAAGCUCUGUUGUAAGAGAAGAACGAGUGUGAGAGUGGAAAGUUCACACUGUGACGGUAUCUUACCAGAAAGGGACGGCUAACUACGUGCCAGCAGCCGCGGUAAU